This 93-nucleotide transfer RNA is filed under the name Amycolatopsis jiangsuensis. Its description in RNAcentral is "tRNA-OTHER". Lineage: Bacteria; Bacillati; Actinomycetota; Actinomycetes; Pseudonocardiales; Pseudonocardiaceae. The record is from RNAcentral.
AGUGCAGGUCAAAGGUAAGCACGGCAGUGGGUAACCAUCGUUGCCCACUGCCGUCCGGAAAUCGAUCAAGUGCGGGUUCGAACCCCGCCGGGG